Macadamia integrifolia is the source of this 495-nucleotide long non-coding RNA. RefSeq lists it as uncharacterized. NCBI's taxonomy places the organism in Eukaryota, Viridiplantae, Streptophyta, Magnoliopsida, Proteales, Proteaceae. The record is from RefSeq and is a predicted model, not a curated record. The transcript is spliced from 2 exons.
UGAAGGUUUUGCUAAUUCCCUCUCUAUAAAUAAAGAUUCCCUCCAAGUAAAAAAUUUUUUGAAUGUGUAAUUCUUCCUUGAGCCGGGAGACCUAGUCCGGUUCGAUUCAAUUUCGGGCUUGAAGCACAAGGGCUAUCUCCCCUUGUUUCUUGAUUAAAGCCGGGUUAAGCUUGAACCAUUCUCUAAUCUGCUUCUAACGUGAGGUUGAAGGUGAAUCAAAAUGUUAGGUGAUUGGAAUUCGUAGAUUCUAAAUAUGUAAAACUGAAAAACUUCAUUUAUGUUCUUAGAGAGAAUGACCAUGCAUGAUAGAUUUAUUGAUUGACCAUAAGUUGUCGUGGUCAUGUAAAUUUGCUUAAAUGAUACAUACAUGAUUAAGAAUCCUAUUCAUACUGACUCAUCUUCUUUGCUUAAGAACCGAAUUUCAUGCGACAUACAAAUGUAACUCUUCUUUGACCUUUUUAAAUAGGACAUUGGGUAUUCAAAUCUCUUAAAUCC